Molecule: ribosomal RNA, 460 nt
Filed under: uncultured bacterium
Lineage: Bacteria
Description: partial 16S ribosomal RNA
Rfam family: Bacterial small subunit ribosomal RNA
Source: RNAcentral
CCUACGGGAGGCAGCAGUGAGGAAUAUUGGUCAAUGGACGAGAGUCUGAACCAGCCAAGUAGCGUGAAGGAUGACUGCCCUAUGGGUUGUAAACUUCUUUUAUAAGGGAAUAAAACGAGGCACGUGUGCCUUUUUGCAUGUACUUUAUGAAUAAGGAUCGGCUAACUCCGUGCCAGCAGCCGCGGUAAUACGGAGGAUCCGAGCGUUAUCCGGAUUUUUUGGGUUUAAAGGGAGCGUAGAUGGGUUGUUAAGUCAGUUGUGAAAGUUUGCGGCUCAACCGUAAAAUUGCAAUUGAUACUGGCAGUCUUGAGUACAGUUGAGGUAGGCGGAAUGCGUGGUGUAGCGGUGAAAUGCUUAGAUAUCACGAAGAACCCCGAUUGCGAAGGCAGCUUACUAACCUGUGACUGACAUUGAUGCUCGAAAGUGUGGGUAUCAAACAGGAUUAGAUACCCGUGUAGUC